RNAcentral lists this unclassified non-coding RNA (94 nucleotides) under Apopellia endiviifolia. RNAcentral describes it as "pre-pen-miR8183". The record is from RNAcentral. Lineage: Eukaryota; Viridiplantae; Streptophyta; Jungermanniopsida; Pelliales; Pelliaceae.
UCUCACUUGAGAACCGGGACUGGAAGGAGGCUGAGAGCAAAGGCCUGUUAUUAUCGAAGUUCUCGGCCUCCCUUGAGUCCUGGCUCUCGAGUUG